Molecule: transfer RNA, 89 nt
Filed under: Acidobacteriota bacterium
Lineage: Bacteria; Pseudomonadati; Acidobacteriota
Also listed under: 2 other names
Description: tRNA-Leu
Rfam family: tRNA
About the family: Transfer RNA (tRNA) molecules are approximately 80 nucleotides in length. Their secondary structure includes four short double-helical elements and three loops (D, anti-codon, and T loops).
Source: RNAcentral
GCCGGGAUGGCGAAACUGGCAGACGCAGCGGACUUAAAAUCCGCAGGACCGAAAGGUCUGUGGGGGUUCAAGUCCCCCUCCCGGCACCA